ACUACACUAUAAAUUAAUGAAAUGGAAAAUUUGAUUGAAAUUUAUUUCUUAUCAAUUCAAUUUUGGUAUGACGAAUAGAUAAGAUUAUUAAAUUUGAUAAACACAUACUGAAUGCUACAGUCAACAAUAGGCAGGUAUAAUUUCACUGGACUGAACCGCAAGCAACGACAAAUGACCACAAUGAAUACGAUUCGACACAAAUUAAAACAAAUAUUGCUUGAAUCGAGGUUAGGUAGGUCAAAAAAGGUGUUGGAUAGAUGGAAGGAAGGAAAUUGUUACAAAAUACAACAACCAAUCGUCUACGCAUCAUUUCGUUUUUAUUAUGGUAAUAUAAGCGAAUGAAAAAAAAAGUCCAAUGAAAAAUAAAUAAAAAGUGAUGACAAAAUGACAAAAGCAUCACACAUCAACUGCAUAGAUAUUGGAAUACAUAUGCAUUGUACGGCCCAUAUAUAUUAAUUUAAAUGUUAACAAUAUUUAAAUUAAAUAAUAGCGGCGGAAGUCACGAAUUACAAUAGAUUGUUUUUUAAAUACAAAAACAAAUGCAUUUCGGUUUCUUGUACACGCAUCUGGUACGAAUGUAUUUUUUUAAGUAGCCAAACCAGAGAAGAACUUUAACUUAAAAAUCAAAAGCAAGCACGUGUUGAAUGUAAAAUAAAUGAAAGUGAGUGGAUAUUGGGAGUCAUCUUCAUCUGGAGUAAUUUCGGUCUAAUAUAUGAAUUUCGCAACU
This is a long non-coding RNA of Bradysia coprophila, 727 nucleotides long. The record is from RefSeq and is a predicted model, not a curated record. Lineage: Eukaryota; Metazoa; Arthropoda; Insecta; Diptera; Sciaridae.